GAACCGUCCGAACGUUAUUCGGAAUCACUGGGCUUAAAGGGUGCGUAGGCGGCGCGGAAAGUUGGGUGUGAAAUACCUCGGCUCAACCGAGGAACUGCGCCCAAAACUUCCGUGCUCGAGGGAGAUAGAGGUGAGCGGAACUUAGGGUGGAGCGGUGAAAUGCGUUGAUAUCCUAAGGAACACCGGUGGCGAAAGCGGCUCACUGGAUCUCUUCUGACGCUGAGGCACGAAAGCUAGGGUAGCGAACGGGAUCAGAUACCCCGGUAGUCCUAGCCGUAAACGAUGAGCACUGGAUUGAAGGGUCCCUCCCAUAGCCUUUCAGUCGCAACGAAAGCGUUAAGUGCUCCGCCUGGGGGAGUAUGGUCGCAAGGCUG
This 374-nucleotide ribosomal RNA is filed under the name uncultured organism. RNAcentral's name for it is "partial 16S ribosomal RNA". It matches the Rfam family "Bacterial small subunit ribosomal RNA", at positions 527 to 896 of the family's 1533-position model. The record is from RNAcentral.